UGAACGCUGGCGGCGUGCCUAAUGCAUGCAAGUCGAGCGAACGGACGAGAAGCUUGCUUCUCUGAUGUUAGCGGCGGACGGGUGAGUAACACGUGGAUAACCUACCUAUAAGGCUGGGAUAACUUCGGGAAACCGGAGCUAAUACCGGAUAAUAUUUUGAACCGCAUGGUUCAAAAGUGAAAGACGGUCUUGCUGUCACUUAUAGAUGGAUCCGCGCUGCAUUAGCUAGUUGGUAAGGUAACGGCUUACCAAGGCAACGAUGCAUAGCCGACCUGAGAGGGUGAUCGUCCACACUGGAACUGAGACACGGUCCAGACUCCUACGGGAGGCAGCAGUAGGGAAUCUUCCGCAAUGGGCGAAAGCCUGACGGAGCAACGCCACGUGAGUGAUGAAGGUCUUCGGAUCGUAAAACUCUGUUAUUAGGGAAGAACAUAUGUGUAAGUAACUGUGCACAUCUUGACGGUACCUAAUCAGAAAGCCACGGCUAACUACGUG
RNAcentral lists this ribosomal RNA (495 nucleotides) under uncultured bacterium. Its description in RNAcentral is "partial 16S ribosomal RNA". It matches the Rfam family "Bacterial small subunit ribosomal RNA", at positions 30 to 507 of the family's 1533-position model. The record is from RNAcentral.